UGCCCGCGAGGAUGCUUCUUCGCCUGAUGUUAUUACCGGUACAUUCACCCUCUUUGAUACUAAUGUAAUUGCUUUGAUUGACCCCGGUUCUACUCAUUCUUACAUAUGUGAAACCUUAGCAUCCAGUAAGACUUUACCUAUUGAGUCUACUGAGUUCGUAAUUCGGGUGUCAAAUCCCUUGGGUCGUUACGUGCUUGUCGACAAAGUGUGUAAGAAAUGUCCCCUGGAAAUUCGAGGUUCCUGUUUUCCAGCGGACUUGAUGCUUUUGCCGUUUGAUGAAUUUGAUGUUAUCCUUGGGUUGGAUUGGUUGACCGCGCAUGAUGCGAUUGUGAAUUGCAAGAGCAAGACUAUUGAUUUGAGGUGCGCAAAUAACGAAGUAGUCCGAAUUGAGUCUGCGGACUUGGAGGGGAUGCCAGCUGUAAUAUCAGCAAUGUUGGCACAGAAAUAUGUAAAAAAAAAGGGGUGCGAAGCAUACCUUGCAUAUGUGCUUGAUGACAAAGAAUUAGAAAAGAAACCCGAAUCUGUGCCGGUGGUUUGUGAAUACCCGGAUGUUUUUCCGGAAGAAUUACCGGGUUUACCACCUGUUCGGAAGGUAGAGUUUGGUAUUGAGCUUGUACCUGGGACUACGCCGAUUUCGAUAGCUCCGUAUCGUAUGGCACCAACUGAGUUAAAGGAGUUGAAAGCUCAGUUGCAAGAACUGACGGAUAGAGGUUUCGCUCGACCAAGUUUCUCACCUUGGGGUGCACCAGUAUUGUUCGUGAAAAAGAAGGACGGAACCAUGAGGUUGUGCAUUGACUAUCGUCAGCUGAAUAAAGUGACGAUAAAGAACAAAUAUCCGUUGCCGUGCAUCGAUGAUUUGUUCGACCAACUGAAGGGAGCCUAAGUGUUCUCAAAAAUAGAUUUGAGAUCGGGCUAUUAUCAGUUGCGAAUUCGAGAUCCAGAUAUUCCCAAAACUGCCUUCAGAACGAGAUAUGGUCACUACGAAUUCUUAGUGAUGCCGUUUGGGCUCACUAAUGCCCCUGCGGUAUUUAUGGAUUUGAUGAAUCGGAUCUUCAGACCGUAUUUGGAUCAGUUCGUAGUUGUGUUCAUUGAUGACAUUUUGGUCUAUUCAAGAGAUGAGACCGAACAUGCUGGGCAUCUGAGGCUAGUGCUGCAAAUUUUGCGGGAUAAGCAGUUAUAUGCUAAGUUCAAUAAGUGCGAGUUCUGGUUAAGAGAGGUUAGCUUCUUGGGUCAUGUGGUAUCCGCGUCGGGUAUUCGAGUUGACCCGAACAAAAUUUCAGCCAUACUUGACUGGAAACCUCCGAGAAAUAUUACUGAAGUUCGGAGCUUUUUGGGGCUCGCCGGUUAUUACCGACGAUUUGUGAAAGGUUUCUCGAUGAUAGCCACACCAAUGACGAAGCUACUUCAAAAGGAUGUUAAGUUCGAGUGGACGGAGAAAUGUCAGAAAAGUUUCAACCAACUGAAAACUCAUUUGACUGAAGCUCCAAUUUUGGUGCAACCCGAAUCAGGUAAAGAGUUUGUCAUUUAUAGUGACGCAUCCCUACUUGGGUUGGGUCGCGUAUUGAUGCAAGAAGGUCGAGUCGUCGCCUAUGCGUCGAGACAAUUGAAGCCACACGAGAGGAAUUAUCCGACCCAUGAUCUCGAUCUAGCUGCCAUCGUGUUUGCUUUAAAAAUAUGGCGACAUUAUCUGUUUGGUGAGAAGUGCCAUGUAUUUUCGGAUCACAAAAGUCUCAAAUAUUUGAUGACUCAACGAGACUUGAAUCUGCGACAAAGACGUUGGCUUGAGUUGUUGAAAGAUUACGAGCUUGUCAUUGAUUACCACCCGGGAAAGGCUAACGUGGUUGCGGACGCCUUAAGCCGGAAGUCAUUGUUUGCUUUACGAGCGAUGAAUGUGCAUUUGUCUGUUCUACCAGACAGUGUGUUAGUAGCUGAAUUAAAAUCUAAACCAUUAUUGACUCACCAAAUUCGUGAAGCUCAGAAAGUCGAUGAUGAAUUGGUUGCAAAACGGGCUAAGUGUUUUCCGAACGAGGAAUCGGAGUUUCAAAUUGAUGAUGAUGAUUGUUUGAGGAUCAGAAAUCGUUUGUGUGUUCCAAGGAAUUCGGAACUCAUUUCGAUGAUUCUGAACGAAGCCCAUUGUUGCCGAAUGUCAAUUCACCCGGGAAGUACGAAAAUGUACAACGAUUUGAAACGUCAAUUUUGGUGGCAUGGUAUGAAACGGGACAUCUUCGACUUUGUUUCGAGAUGUUUAAUAUGUCAACAAGUGAAAGCGGAACAUCAAGUGCUUUCAGGAUUACUCCAGCCGAUCAUGAUACCCGAGUGGAAAUGGGAUCGAGUCACAAUGGACUUUGUGUCCGGACUGCCCUUGUCAGCAAGUAAGAAGGAUGCGAUAUGGGUUAUUGUUGAUAGACUGACUAAGUCGGCUCAUUUCAUCCCCGUACGUACGGAUUUUUCAUUGGAUAAACUAGCUGAAUUGUACGUUUAUCAAAUUGUGAGAUUAUACGGGGUACCUGUUUCUAUCGUGUCGGAUAGAGAUCCGAGAUUCACCUCACGAUUUUGGAAGAAAUUGCAAGAAGCUCUGGGUACUAAGCUGCAUUUUAGCACUGCUUUUCACCCCCAAACCGAUGGUCAAUCCGAGCGGAUAAUUCAGAUACUUGAGGAUAUGUUGAGAUGUUGCAUCCUCGAGUUCAGUAGUUCAUGGGAACGGUAUUUACCUUUGAUUGAAUUCGCUUACAACAAUAGUUUUCAAUCAAGUAUUAAGAUGGCACCUUAUGAGGCUUUGUACGGUCGUAAAUGCCGUACACCAUUGUUUUGGACCGAGCUCGGUGAAAGCAAAAUUUUCGGAGUUGAUUUGAUUAGAGAUGCCGAACAGAAAGUAAAGGUAAUCCGUGAAAGUCUGAAGGUAUCCACGGAUCGUCAGAAAUCGUACGCAGAUUUGAAACGAAAAGACAUCGAGUAUCAGGUGGGAGACAAAGUGUUCCUUAAGGUUUCACCUUGGAAAAAGAUACUCAGGUUCGGCCGUAAGGGCAAGUUGAGCCCAAGAUUCAUUGGGCCGUACGAAAUCUCCGAACGAGUUGGUCCGGUUGCGUAUAGAUUGAUUUUGCCCCCGGAGCUUGAAAAGAUUCAUGACGUCUUUCAUGUUUCGAUGCUUCGACGCUAUCGAUCUGAUCCAUCGCACAUAAUUAGCCCAUCGGAGGUUGAAAUUCAAGUCGACAUGAGCUAUGAAGAAGAACCGAUGCGUAUCCUAGCUCGUGAAGUGAAGGAGUUGAGAAACAAAAGAGUUCCGCUAGUAAAGGUGUUAUGGCUCAAACUCGGGAUCGAGGAAGCUACUUGGGAGACCGAGAGCUCGAUGAAAGAACGAUACCCAAACCUAUUUACUGGUAAGAUUUUCGGGGACGAAAAUUUCUUAAGUGGGGGAGAGUUGUGACAGCCCAAAGUUGACCCUAGUCGGGAAGUGGUUUCGGGACCGCUAAACCGAGUCACCGAAAUGUUUGAAUGUGAUACUUAUUGUGUAGAAUAUGUAAUUAUGAAUGUGUGAAAAUUUCAAGCUUUAAUUGGGUUGAUUUCAUGUGAAUUUAGUCAAUAGGACUUAUGUGAGAAAAUUCUAAAAUGUGAUAGGUCAAUGUGUGAGGACCUACUAGUGCAUGUGGACAAAGGGGGGACUUGCAUGUCAAAUUUCCCCCCCCUAAUGAGUAGUGGCCGGCCAUGACAAGGAAGGAUGGGCAAAACAUGUCAUGAAACAUGUUUUGUUAGUGGAAGAAUAAAAUAAGGAGUAUGGGUAAUAAAGAAAUGGAAAACAAAAGAAAAAAAAAAGGUGUGUGUGGUGUUUGUCCCCCCAUUGCCGUGAGCUAAACAAGAGAAAGGGGGAAUUUUGUUCAUCCUUUUCUCAUCUUCAUGCUUGCCAAAAACUAGAAAGAAAAACAAAGAAAAAUUUUCUCAUCCUUUGGUUCAUCCUUGGCCAAAAAUUUUAAGGAGGAAAGAAGAAGAAAGGUGAAGAGAUUCGGCCAUGCAUGUAGCUAGGCUAAGCUCAAGAGCAAAGGGGAAAUAAAACCGAUAAAGGGAAGGAAAAAGUGGUUGAAUAGCUAGCGGAAUCGUUCGACAACACCCGAGAUUUUUGGUUCUCCAGCUAUCGGACUCGGGAUCUUGAAGUCGAAGUCGCCCACACUAUCAAAGGCUCUUUUGGGUACUAUUUUGGUUGAAUUUUGUUAUGGCAUGUAUAGGACUACCCAUUGUUGUCUUUCGAGUACUUUAUGAAAUGUAUAAGUGUACAGCCAUGCGAAAAUGGCUUGUAGAAGUGGAGUAUGGCAUUAGACCAUUCGUAUUUGUGAAUGUAUAGAUGGUUUCAUGAUGUAACUAUGUUGGAAUGGAAGUGUUGAGCAAAUGAUCAGCCACUAGAAUGGCUAAGUAUGAUCAUAUGUGGGCUUAUGUAUGACAAGGCCCUAGUUGGUCCAUGAAACCCCAAAUUAGGUAAGGUUCACUUUGAAAACAGAAGCUGAU
Molecule: long non-coding RNA, 4494 nt
Filed under: Gossypium barbadense (sea-island cotton)
Lineage: Eukaryota; Viridiplantae; Streptophyta; Magnoliopsida; Malvales; Malvaceae
Description: long non-coding RNA (GBAR_LNC002314)
Source: RNAcentral